GAAUUUUAUAUAAAUUUAUUAAGUAUUUGAUUUGAUAAUAGUAAUACGGAUUUAUAUUUAGUUGGGGGGAUUGUUAAAUUAAUAAAACUUUGAUUGGAAUAAAACAUUAAUUAGUGGUUUAAAUUAAAAUAUGAAUUAUUAUUAAAUUAAAGUAGAAUAAAUUACCUCAGGGAUAACAGCGUUAUAUCUUUAAAGAGUUCAUAUUGAUAAAGAUGUUUGC
This 220-nucleotide ribosomal RNA is filed under the name Octostruma obtusidens. Its description in RNAcentral is "partial large subunit ribosomal RNA". Lineage: Eukaryota; Metazoa; Arthropoda; Insecta; Hymenoptera; Formicidae. The record is from RNAcentral.